AUUCCCGGUGUAGCGGUGAAAUGCGUAGAUAUCGGGAAGAACACCAGUGGCGAAGGCGCUCUGCUGGGCCAUCACUGACGCUCAUGGACGAAAGCCAGGGGAGCGAAAGGGAUUAGAUACCCCUGUAGUCCUGGCCGUAAACGAUGAACACUAGGUGUCGGGGGAAUCGACCCCUCCGGUGUCGUAGCCAACGCGUUAAGUGUUCCGCCUGGGGAGUACGCACGCAAGUGUGAAACUCAAAGGAAUUGACGGGGGCCCGCACAAGCGGUGGAGUAUGUGGUUUAAUUCGAUGCAACGCGAAGAACCUUACCAGGGUUUGACAUCCUGCGAAUCUCUUGGAAACUUGAGAGUGCCUUCGGGAGCGCAGUGACAGGUGGUGCAUGGCUGUCGUCAGCUCGUGUCGUGAGAUGUUGGGUUAAGUCCCGCAACGAGCGCAACCCACGUCUUUAGUUGCCAGCAUUUAGUUGGGCACUCUAGAGAGACCGCCGGUGAUAAACCGGAGGAAGGUGUGGAUGACGUCAAGUCAUCAUGCCCCUUACAUCCUGGGCUACACACGUACUACAAUGCUACGGACAAAGGGCAGCAAGUUCGCGAGGACAAGCAAAUCCCAUAAACCGUGGCUCAGUUCAGAUCGUAGGCUGCAACUCGCCUACGUGAAGGAGGAAUCGCUAGUAAUCGCAGGUCAGCAUACUGCGGUGAAUACGUUCCCGGCCCUUGCACACACCGCCCG
This 730-nucleotide ribosomal RNA is filed under the name uncultured bacterium. Its description in RNAcentral is "SSU rRNA". It matches the Rfam family "Bacterial small subunit ribosomal RNA", at positions 666 to 1396 of the family's 1533-position model. The record is from RNAcentral.